GCUCAUCUCUGACUGUUCUGAAGCCCUUCUGCAUGAGGCAUAACAUAAUUCAAGCAAGAUGUGGACAUCCACAGGGAGGUAUGCCCAAAGCAGAUCAUUGCUAGAUUUAAGAGGAAAUGCUGCCUUUUAAUCUCAAAGUUUGAGGAAAAAGUGACAUUCCCAUCGUCAUUCAUACCAAAUAAAGAAGAGAAUCUGCACAUUGGCCCAUGGCACCAAUCACUUUGCAUGGUAGGAUUACAGUAACGCUGCCACCUAUUUGAUCACAGAAAUGGAUGGCUUUCGAGUGCAGC
RNAcentral lists this long non-coding RNA (290 nucleotides) under Rattus norvegicus (Norway rat). RNAcentral describes it as "long non-coding RNA NONRATT006494". The record is from RNAcentral. Lineage: Eukaryota; Metazoa; Chordata; Mammalia; Rodentia; Muridae.